GCCCUAGUGGCGCAAUUGGUAGACGCGGUCGGCUCAAACCCGGCUUGUUGUGGGUUCGAGUCCCACCUGGGGUA
Molecule: transfer RNA, 74 nt
Filed under: Candidatus Ancillula trichonymphae
Lineage: Bacteria; Bacillati; Actinomycetota; Actinomycetes; Bifidobacteriales; Bifidobacteriaceae
Also listed under: 1 other name
Description: tRNA-Leu
Rfam family: tRNA
About the family: Transfer RNA (tRNA) molecules are approximately 80 nucleotides in length.
Source: RNAcentral